This 537-nucleotide ribosomal RNA is filed under the name Prosoeca sp. 22 GLT-2023a. RNAcentral's name for it is "partial large subunit ribosomal RNA". It matches the Rfam family "Bacterial large subunit ribosomal RNA", at positions 1811 to 2620 of the family's 2925-position model. Lineage: Eukaryota; Metazoa; Arthropoda; Insecta; Diptera; Nemestrinidae. The record is from RNAcentral.
AAACAUGUCUUUUAGAAUUAAAUUUAAAGUCGGACCUGCCCACUGAGGUAUUGAAUGGCCGCAGUAUUUUAACUGUGCAAAGGUAGCAUAAUCAUUAGUUUUUUAAUUGAAGACUUGUAUGAAUGGUUGGACAAAAUAUAUAUUGUUUCAUAUAAAUUUAUAGAAUUUUAUUUUUUAGUUAAAAAGCUAAAAUUUAAUUAAAAGACGAGAAGACCCUAUAGAUCUUUAUAAUUAUUGAAUUUUAUUUAUUAGGAAUAUUUUAAAUUUGAUUUAAAUAAUUAUUUUAUUGGGGUGAUAGUAAGAUUAAGUAAACUCUUAUAAAGAUUGUACCAUAAAUUAAUGAUUGAGUUGAUCCAAUAUUAUUGAUUAAUAAAAUAAGUUACCUUAGGGAUAACAGCGUAAUUUUUUUAGAGAGUUCAUAUCGAUAAAAAAGAUUGCGACCUCGAUGUUGGAUUAAGAUAUAAAUUUGGGUGUAGCUGUUCAAAUUUAAAGUCUGUUCGACUUUUUAAUUCUUACAUGAUCUGAGUUCAAACCGGA